AGCAGCCGCGGUAAUUCCAGCUCCAAUAGCGUAUAUUAAAGUUGUUGCAGUUAAAAAGCUCGUAGUUGAAUUUCGGGGUUUAUCCGUUGGUCGGGCUUUUGGGUCUGUACUGGCGUGAUGGAUUCCUACCUUCUGAAUAACCAGCAUGUCAUUAAUUUGGUGCGUUGGGGAAGCAGGACUGUUACCUUGAAAAAUUAGAGUGCUUAAAGCAGGCUAUUGCCUGAAUACAUUAGCAUGGAAUAAUGAAAUAGGACGCAUGGUUCUAUUUUGUUGGUUUCUAGGGUCACCGUAAUGAUUAAUAGGGAUAGUUGGGGGCAUUAGUAUUCAAUUGUCAGAGGUGAAAUUCUUGGAUUUAUUGAAGACUAACUUCUGCGAAAGCAUUUGCCAAGGAUGUUUUCAUUAAUCAAGAACGAAAGUUAGGGGAUCGAAGACGAUCAGAUACCGUCGUAGUCUUAACCAUAAACUAUGCCGACUAGGGAUCGGACGAUGUUAAUUUUUAAUGACUCGUUCGGCGCCUU
RNAcentral lists this ribosomal RNA (518 nucleotides) under uncultured Acaulospora. RNAcentral's name for it is "SSU rRNA". It matches the Rfam family "Eukaryotic small subunit ribosomal RNA", at positions 569 to 1089 of the family's 1831-position model. Lineage: Eukaryota; Fungi; Glomeromycota; Glomeromycetes; Diversisporales; Acaulosporaceae. The record is from RNAcentral.